GACGAACGCUGGCGGCGUGCCUAAUACAUGCAAGUAGAACGCUGAAGGAGGAGCUUGCUUCUCCGGAUGAGUUGCGAACGGGUGAGUAACGCGUAGGUAACCUGCCUGGUAGCGGGGGAUAACUAUUGGAAACGAUAGCUAAUACCGCAUAAGAGUAGAUGUCGCAUGACAUUUUCUUAAAAGGUGCAACUGCACCACUACCAGAUGGACCUGCGUUGUAUUAGCUAGUUGGUGAGGUAACGGCUCACCAAGGCAACGAUACAUAGCCGACCUGAGAGGGUGAUCGGCCACACUGGGACUGAGACACGGCCCAGACUCCUACGGGAGGCAGCAGUAGGGAAUCUUCGGCAAUGGACGGAAGUCUGACCGAGCAACGCCGCGUGAGUGAAGAAGGUUUUCGGAUCGUAAAGCUCUGCUGUAAGAGAAGAACGAGUGUGAGAGUGGAAAGUUCACACUGUGACGGUAUCUUACCAGAAAGGGACGGCUAACUACGUG
RNAcentral lists this ribosomal RNA (495 nucleotides) under uncultured bacterium. RNAcentral describes it as "partial 16S ribosomal RNA". It matches the Rfam family "Bacterial small subunit ribosomal RNA", at positions 28 to 507 of the family's 1533-position model. The record is from RNAcentral.